UACAGAGGCCCCAAGCGUUACUGAGAAUCACUGGGUUUAAAGGGUGCGUAGGUGGUCCGUUAAGUUCGUUGUGAAAUCCCUGGGCUCAACCCAGGAACUGCUUCGAAUACUGGCGGACUUGAGGCUAGUAGGGGUCACUGGAACUGACGGUGGAGCGGUGAAAUGCGUAGAUAUCGUCAGGAACGCCAAUGGUGAAGACAGGUGACUGGGCUAGAUCUGACACUGAGGCACGAAAGCGUGGGGAGCGAACGGG
RNAcentral lists this ribosomal RNA (253 nucleotides) under uncultured bacterium. RNAcentral's name for it is "partial 16S ribosomal RNA". It matches the Rfam family "Bacterial small subunit ribosomal RNA", at positions 524 to 776 of the family's 1533-position model. The record is from RNAcentral.